UAGACAGUAUUUUGUAUUAAGGAUUUUUAAGACACUUUUAUUUAUAUUAUUACAUUACAGCCUGACAACAACCCUGAGAAGUAGACAAGGUGAGUGUUAUUAGCCCUGCUUUACUGAUGAGGAAAUGGAGACUCAGAGCUGAGUCAUGGAAUUAAUUAGACUAAGAGGCCAUGCGAUGAGAUGGAAUGUGCAUGGGACAAACCUGUGUCAGAUAAAAUGUAGUCCCACUGCCACCUCAGGAUUUAAGAUACUUCAUGUUUUGGUGCGGUGGCAAGUGUGAUAUGUGGGUUUUGAUCCUCUUUUGUACAGGAUUAUUGCAGGAAUGGUGUCCGCUCAACAUAGCCCUGCACUCCCUCUGGCUUACCACCUUGCCCAUGGGCCAUACCUGUCCCAUGUCCUCCCUUCUACCGUGCCCAGUGUGGGAGAGGGCUGCUGAUGCCUGGUCACCCUGCCUCUCACUGAGAAAAUAAGCUUGGCCUUUAUUGGCACGUGCCAAUUUGGAACAAGAAAAAGAAGAUAAAAGAACAUAGAAGCUUAAAAAAUAGUCUCACAGUAUAAAGGAUGAGGCCAUGGAUCACACCCUUGAAGGGCAGAAUCACCCUAACAGGCAGUGUACAUCAUCUGAAAAAUAGAAUGUUAUUUACAGCUCAGCUUAUUUAUGUUUCUUUACUUUCUGAUUCUGUUUCUGCCUUCUACCUUCCACGAUGCCAAUUCAAUGUGGGGUAAGUAUGGUGAGAGAGAACCAUCUGGAGACACUGGACCCUGACUAUGUAUAUGUUUAACCAAAGAGGUGACUUGAGGGGAGAAUUCCAGGCCAGGUGGAAAUGGAAGAUGGUAAAUGUGCUAAGUAGGAGAGGACAUUGGCUAGGUAGACCAUCUGGUUUUCUUCACAUCUCACAGUUAAGAUUACAUGAAAGGAAGCAUGAUGUGGUAGGAAAAAAUCCAUGUAUUUUAAGCAAUUAAUUGAAGUUCAGUCCUACAGGUAUUCUGGGGACACUCAUCACGGGCCAGGCCCAUGUGCUGGGUUUUCAGAAUGAUCAGACACAGUUUCUGUCUUGAAGUAGCUCACGGUUUAGUGAGGGGCACCAAAAAUAAGUUAAUAUAACACUCUGUGAUAAGAACAUAAUAAAGGA
Long non-coding RNA from Balaenoptera ricei (Rice's whale), 1133 nucleotides. RefSeq lists it as uncharacterized. The record is from RefSeq and is a predicted model, not a curated record. NCBI's taxonomy places the organism in Eukaryota, Metazoa, Chordata, Mammalia, Artiodactyla, Balaenopteridae. The transcript has 3 exons.